GAAAGAUGAAAAGAAUUUUGAAAAGAAAGUCAAACAGUACGUGAAAUUGUUGAAAGGGAAACGAUUGAAGCCAGUCGUACCGAUGGGAAUUCAACUUCUCGAGUGCUAAUCGUGGGUGACGUUGAGCUUCACGGCCUUCGUUGCUUGUGUUGUUGGUGCUUUUGGGGUGUACUUUUCCGUAUGGUAGGUCAGCAUCGAUUUCGAUCGUCAUAAAAUGAUCGGGGGAAUGUAGCUUCGGUCUCGUAUCGGAGUGUUAUA
This 258-nucleotide ribosomal RNA is filed under the name uncultured Glomeraceae. RNAcentral describes it as "partial large subunit ribosomal RNA". It matches the Rfam family "Eukaryotic large subunit ribosomal RNA", at positions 359 to 566 of the family's 3401-position model. The record is from RNAcentral. Lineage: Eukaryota; Fungi; Glomeromycota; Glomeromycetes; Glomerales; Glomeraceae.